RNAcentral lists this long non-coding RNA (898 nucleotides) under Zea mays. Its description in RNAcentral is "long non-coding RNA (ZMAY_LNC000677)". The record is from RNAcentral. Lineage: Eukaryota; Viridiplantae; Streptophyta; Magnoliopsida; Poales; Poaceae.
GCCAACACUAGUAUUUUCUUGGCUAGGUUCCAGUUGGCCCUUACAAUUUGUCUGUAUCACAUCGAUACAAGUUCGCAUAGUACUUGCACUUGUCUCUUCCCUCCCCAUUUGUAGUUUUUACCUUGGUGACGUGAUCCAAAACAUCUGAACUUAAGAAAUUGCUUUCCUUUUCUUGUUUUCCUCGUCCUCUUGAUGUUUACCUCCAGUCUCCUCGUCAAGCUCUACCAUUUCAUUCACAUGAUUUGCAACGGUUCCAUCAGUGCCCCCCUAUCUAUAAAUAAAAACAUGAAAUACGCCAUCAUCCAAAAGAGGAUAGCUGAAGUCUGAACUUAAGAGUAGAAGACAUAUGUUGGUGCUGAGCCGCGCUACCGUGUGGUCCGUCGCCAUCUGAGCCCGAUGCGCCGCGCCGACACCGUCGUUUCACCUGACGCCAACGUCAUCGCUGCGACCGAUAUGGUGGAUAGGGUUAGGGCGUCGUGUGACGCUGGUGUGGGAUAGGAGUGUCGUGCGGGUGCGGUGUUGAUGCCCUUGUGGGUUGAGCCGGGCAAUUGGUUGCCUGCGGUGUGAGAUUUUCUCAUUCUAUUGGACAUGAGGUCUUUCAAAAUCUAAAAAAAAAGUUUUCAUAGCUCCCCCCCCAAUAACUAGUUUUAGGUUGAGAUUUUCUCCUACUUUUGGUGAUGCAGUUCCAAGCCAACACCGAACAAAAAUCCAAAGAACCGUCGGUUCGCCUCGGUUUUGGUUCAGUGUUCAGUCAGUUCAAAUGUGCCCAGCCCAUCUUUCAUAAAGAAUAUCGGAUCCUCAUUCAACUAGUGUUUCGAAUUUCACUCUUCAGUCGAUGCCGCCAGAUCUUUCAUACCCAAAGCCAAUCUUACUAUGCACCAGUUUAAAUGCCAGAUGG